RNAcentral lists this ribosomal RNA (499 nucleotides) under uncultured beta proteobacterium. RNAcentral's name for it is "bacterial SSU rRNA". It matches the Rfam family "Bacterial small subunit ribosomal RNA", at positions 8 to 524 of the family's 1533-position model. Lineage: Bacteria; Pseudomonadati; Pseudomonadota; Betaproteobacteria. The record is from RNAcentral.
AGAGUUUGAUCCUGGCUCAGAUUGAACGCUGGCGGCAUGCUUUACACAUGCAAGUCGAACGGCAGCACGGGGGCAACCCUGGUGGCGAGUGGCGAACGGGUGAGUAAUACAUCGGAACGCGUCCCGUAAUGGGGGAUAACGCAGCGAAAGUUGUGCUAAUACCGCAUACGAUCUACGGAUGAAAGCGGGGGACCGCAAGGCCCCGCGUUAUGGGAGUGGCCGAUGUCCGAUUAGCUAGUUGGUAGGGUAAUAGCCCACCAAGGCGACGAUUGGUAGUUGGUCUGAGAGGAUGAUCAGCCACAAUGGGACUGAGACACGGCCCAUACUCCUACGGGAGGCAGCAGUGGGGAAUUUUACGCAAUGGGGGAAACCCUGACGUAGCGACACCGCGUGAGCGAAGAAGCCCUUUGGGGUGUAAAGCUCUGUCAGCUGGAACGAACACAAUGACGGUACCAGCAGAGGAAGCAUUGGCUAACUACGUGCCAGCAGCCGCGGUAAU